RNAcentral lists this ribosomal RNA (279 nucleotides) under uncultured bacterium. RNAcentral describes it as "partial 16S ribosomal RNA". It matches the Rfam family "Bacterial small subunit ribosomal RNA", at positions 506 to 784 of the family's 1533-position model. The record is from RNAcentral.
UGCCAGCAGCCGCGGUAAUACGUAGGAUGCAAGCGUUGUCCGGAAUCACUGGGCGUAAAGGGUCCGUAGGCGGUUUGUUAAGUCUCCUGUGAAAGUUCAAGGCUCAACCUUGAAAUGUCGGGGGAUACUGGCAAACUUGAGACUGUCAGAGGCAAGUGGAAUUCCCGGUGUAGUGGUGAAAUGCGUAGAUAUCGGGAGGAACACCAGUGGCGAAAGCGGCUUGCUGGGACAGUUCUGACGCUGAGGGACGAAAGCGUGGGUAGCAAACCGGAUUAGAUA